RNAcentral lists this long non-coding RNA (603 nucleotides) under Pavo cristatus (Indian peafowl). RNAcentral describes it as "lncRNA (ENSPSTG00000014790.1)". The record is from RNAcentral. Lineage: Eukaryota; Metazoa; Chordata; Aves; Galliformes; Phasianidae.
CCGUCCGUAACAAGCAUCCCACAUUUUUCUACAUGGAUUUGGCUUGCCAAGACAUCUGCUUUUAUUAGCAGCAGUUGAUCUGCCCGUAACGAGGGAAAAGUCUUGAUCCAGAUAGACAGAAGCAUAGCAAGGAGAAUGAUUAAAACAUCCAGAGAAUUUGGAGACAUGCAUACAGUGCUGAGGCAAAUGUUUUGCCAGUGCAACCUGGUAAUGAGCAGUUCCCUGAAGAUGGAGAGACUUUUUGAGAAUGGCAGCUCACUGCAAUUAAUACUAGAGGUAAGCAGACUAAGCAAUUCUUGCAAACCAAGGUCUCUUCUUUCCUUUAUGACCAAAAAAGACUAUUUUACUUAUUUCUUUAAUACACGCACACUGACAAGUAACUUCUACAUGACUGACUUACCUCUUGGAAUGGAUUUUUGUUUCGUGGAACUGAGCUAUAAAAAAAGAAAAACACCUACAACUUACAUCUUAUUAGAUAUUUAUAUUUCUAUUAGUAUUUUUAGUAGUAGUACCUGUGUUUAUGGAAUACUGAACAAUAUUAGACAAAAAUGUAAAGUAGAACAAUACUUGCCUUUCUGCAUUCAUCAGAGCUAUUUGAUUUAA